Non-coding RNA from Anas platyrhynchos (mallard), 4473 nucleotides. The record is from RefSeq and is a predicted model, not a curated record. NCBI's taxonomy places the organism in Eukaryota, Metazoa, Chordata, Aves, Anseriformes, Anatidae.
GCUUUCCCAGCUCCCACCAGAGCCUCCAGCAGUGCUGCUUCUUGCUUUUGGCCUCAGAGCAGGCCUGUGGCACCUGUCUGGUUUGUGUCAAAUCUGCUUCUGAAAGUUAUCUGGGGACUGGUGCUUCCUCAUUCACCCUCAGCACUUUUCUAAGGCAAGAGGUGGAGUUAAAAGGAGCCUUCACUUUCUGCCACAGAAUGAGUUGCUUCCCACUGCACUGCUGAAACUGCUGUUUGCUGAGUUCCCUUUGUGCCAGGCACUUCCAGAGACUCUGGACUGGAUCAGGCCUUUCAAAGACUCUCCCGUACACCACUUCCAAGGUUUCAAGCUUCACCUGCUUUUUAGCAAGCAGGCACUUACACCAAUGUUGAUGGAUGCUUUUUCCCUACUUCUUGCUCUUUGUGAAUGAGCUGUUGGCAAGCGCUCCUGACUGCAGCCUUAAUCUCUCUUUAUGGAGAUACGGAGGUUGCCUUCAGUGAGUCCCUGAAGUCCGCUGCUGCAGUGCUGAAAAGCUUGGUUCACUGCAGGAACAGAGCGCAGUCUGCAGAGGCAAGCUCACUGACCUGAUGGUGGAGCUGAUUCUGCUGGGACCCAUGGGGAACCAACACCCCCAGCACCUUGCAGCACGUAUCCUGCAGCUUCAGGUCUGGUUGCAGCUGUGUGAGCCCAUCUGAGUUAGCUUCAGUUACUGUAUGAAUGCUCUGUCUGGGAUAAGCCUGCCUUUUGCAUCCCCAUCCUUCAGGAAAAGCCAAAGUGCUUGGGCUGAGAUCUCUUUAAUUCUUGUGCCCUGCUGCUGGCUGCAAGAGUUGGGGCUGCUUUGAACUGCAGCCUAGAAAGGAGCCUAGAAGUGGAGGAGAGCCACGCUCCCUCCCAGCACAGCCAGGCCUGUGCAGGAGCUGACCUCUGCUGCUUCAGUGCAGAGGAAAAAAAAUAUUCAAAGCAGGUUAGGCUUGACCUACAUUUGGUCUUUGCAGUGUGCAAGUUCUCCGCUUCCUGCACUUUUCUCGUGGUGACCUUUUGUUCCUAGGAGGUAGGUUAAGAAGUGCUCUGAGGCAUCACUGUAUGUUUUGUAAAGCAAAAUUUUCUUUCCAACAGGAAAGAAUAAUUUGAAGAUUAUUUCAGUCACAGGAAAUCCCACAGUCAAAUUAAAAAAAGGAAACUUGUUCUUGUAAAGUCUUCAAAUAUCGUAGGAUUAAAUCUCUCUUUAGGGCUGACAUUACGGGUGGGAUGAUUGCCAUUGAUAUCUCAUAUGCGCCAUGUGCUUCAGAAUAGGAUUUUGCACCAAAGUGUCUCUCGCCACCAAUCAAAUCUCAGUGAGUGGAAAAGAAACGUCUGCCUCAGAGCAAGGAGGGAGAGGGAAGGGCAGGUGCUGGCGUUGGAGAUGUCAUAGUUACAGCUGGGAAAAGUACGGAUAAUUUUCCUCCACUAUUUUGAUCGCUAUGUCUGCAAGCCGUGAACAGAAGUGGUAAUUCAGAGGGCAAGAGGGAGGACUCAUAGAGCAGCAUACCAUGGUCCUGGGCCCAGCUGUGCCAAUGCUUUUAUUAUUUUUUUCCCCUCUCCCUUCCUUUUUGAUGUGGCUAAGGACAUAUUUUAUCUAUUUCUCAGUGAAGAAGGGGAUGGAGAAGAUGCAAGUGAACAUGGACAGAAGUGUGGUGGUUUUUUGGUUGUUUUUUUUUGGCUGUUUUUUUUUUUUUUUUUUUUUUUUAGUAGCUUGCCCACUGCAGAGCCAGCUGCCUCUGCGGUCACACAGCGCGCUGGCUGCUGUUGUGGUGUUUGCAAGCGUCACAGCUGACAAACUGCAGGGGGAAGCAAAAGCAUCAUGUGCGCAACCAAAGAUGUCUGCAGGCAGCAACAUCUCCAGAAGGUCCAUCUGUAGCAGGAGCCGGCCGUAAAGCUAAGCUGACCCAUUUUAUCUUGCUGGAUCCUGACACAGGCAAAAUGUUAUCCAGUCACAAAUCAUUUCUGCAAGGGCGUGUAACAUCUUCUGGCCAUGUUUUGUCAGCUGGCCCUGCUCGCCUUCUGUUACAAUACCUGUCUUACCUAGGUAAAGUCUUCUGAGCAACCACAGAGACCUCAAGGACAGAGAGCAGCUUGACCUUAUCAGUGGAUCUGCCCCUUUCGUUUGAAGGAUGCUAAGGUUACCAAGUCAUAGGCAGGAGAUGGCAGACAACAUUUGCUGGAGCAAAACAGCCAGUAUUUCACAGCGAAGAGCGGCAGGGAGCCAGGACAAAGACCAGGGUGUGACCGUGCAGCUCAAGGUCAGGAGGGUUGAGUUAAAGUUACCCACGUGGCCUCGCUUCUGGCAUGUCCCAGCUUCUGAGAGCUUAAUUGGUAGUGUUCCCAUGUCCUCUGUGCAUGUCUUUCCUUAUAUAUUAAAGAAAAAAAAAAAAUACAACCAAACAACAACCAAAUAGAAAUCAAUAAGUUUUAUUGUGUGGCAUCACAUUUAACACCUACGUGGGGCUGAGAUCUUUUGAUUAGUUUUACUUUUAUGGACUAGCAGAGCAGUAAAGUGUUGAAUACCUGGACCAGGCAUGGAAAGGCAGAGGGCAUUGGCCAAUGUGUUGGGUUUUAUUUGGCUACACAGUGAUUGUCAGCCUCUGUUUCCCCUCUGGGGGAACAUGUUCCCACUGCUUAAAGGGUCUUUCACAUGUGAUCCCUGUGGGGCCAGCUGUGUCCACAACUGUUCCAAAGCUGCUCCUUCUUCCCCUCUUUUUCCUCUCUCCUCUUGCUUUUUGACCCAUCCCAGGCUUUCAGCCCUGCUGAUCCCAUGAAUGCAGCCCAGAGAUGUUCCCUUCAUUUGAGCCCUGACCCUGUUUAGUUUUCCUGUCCCUCUGUAACACCUCCUGCUUCUGAUCAUCUAUGCAUGGAUCUUGCACGGUGCCCUUCCUGUGUCCAAGGUUUGCUGGAUGACGAGCAGUCAGCACGAUUUAUUCACUGUGGGUGCAACUUGUCAGCAGAUUUUUCUCCCUUAACAUGAAGUGGUGGAAUCCAAGGCAGCCAGCGCAGGCACUGAGCUUCGUGCGAUGAACUCUCCUAAGUGGUGAUUCUCGCUUGCACAGCAUCUCCCUUUGCCCCUCUUUAGAGGCUGGUACACGAGCAGAGAUUUUUGAACUCAUAUCACAAAAACAGUUUGUAGCGUAGAUGGGCUUGUUAUUAGAUGUUGUGAUUAACCCCUGGUGAUGAUCACCCAGCUUGGAACAUCAAGGUACAGUCACGGAGGAACAGCGGGUCAGAGUCUCUGUUGAUACCGGUCUCUGCAGUCCCGCUGAAGGCAACACAACUACGCCAUUUCACACCACACAUGGUGUGUGCCAGUCUUUAUCUGGCAUCUAUAGCUCUAAUAGGAACAUACGCUUUGCUAAAUUAAGAAGCAAUAUUUUUGUGCUUUAGGAGAAGCAUGCUAACAGUCCUGACUUAUUUUAAGGAUAUGUCUUAAAAGCAUUAAAAGGGGCAUGAAAUAAUAAUAUAUGUAAUUUACCACUGUGGAGACUGUCAAGUGUUGUCAUGCUACUGGCAUCACAUUUAAUACACAGGCUGCCAAGAGGCAUCACUAAUAGAAUUUGCAUUAAUAUACAAAGCUUCUUUAAAAAUUAAUUAGCCAAAGUAGAGCAUCAUGUGCAGAGACUCUCAAACAGGAGAGAAACAUUGAAGCCGUAGUGAAAGAAGCAGUCUCGAAGCUGCUUGCAAAGCCGAGGGCAGCUGGAAGCAUUGCCCAAGCCCUUCCCUCCUGCCCAGAUGUAUGCAGGAUGAUGGGGAUGCAGACAUAAACUGACAGCGUGAAGCAUUGCCGUGGAAAAUUGUGAAGAAAAUCAUAGAUUUGGAGUGGGCCCAGAGGCUGUUGUGCUGCUGCUGAAGGCUGUUGUGCUGCAGCUGUAAGCUGGAGAAGCUGCAAAGAAAUACAAGCGACCUGUUAAGUCCUUGAAAGAAAAUGUGAUCUCUUCUAAUGUCUUAUUUCCACCUUUUAGAAACACCAGGCUGGAGGCACCAGCACUCCACAGCUUAAGCAGCAGGUGUAAGUGUGGGUCAUGCAUUUCUGUGUGAGCCCAACACUGCAUGUGCCAAAGGCCAGCACGCUGCAGGCUUGCCUGGGUCAAACUGUCCAACAGCAGCAGCGAGGUGUCGCAGAGCUUAUCAAGGGCACGUGAUAACCCUCACCCAAAAGUCAGUCCCCCUCUUUUUGUGCUCUUUAAUCAGCCUGCAAAUGCAAUGGCAGACCAACGAGUUGGGAUGCUGUGACCUUGGUUGAUUUAUUAAAUUAGCAGCAGACACACCUACCUUUGGUGCUUCAGUUUCUUCAUGCUGUGGAGAUGGCUAGAGGUGGGGUUUGCUGUUCCAUGUGGAGGAGAAAAAACAAACUUACUGAUGACAUGUACUGGUGACCUUUCAUUGGAAGCCGAAGGCAAUGCGAUGUGUGCCGACACGUGGGCUGGUUGUGGCCUGCUGUCCUUUUGUAGCUCAGGUUAUAAAUCU